CAGCAAAACGAUACAAUAACUUUAGUAAAAUGGAGAAAGCACAGCUGGUGUUCGUCCCCUGGCCUGGUAUGGGCCAUCUUGUAUCCGCAGUGGAGCUAGCAAAGCAUCUUCUCACCCGCGACCAACGACUCUCCGUCACUAUCCUUAUCCUCCAGCUAUCUUUCAUCAACUCCAAGCAGGUUCAUAACUACAUUGAAUCGCUUCAAGCUUCCUCCUCCACUAUAUCCAAUUCUCUCCGAUUCAUUGUUUUGCCGA
This 255-nucleotide unclassified non-coding RNA is filed under the name Hevea brasiliensis (rubber tree). The record is from RNAcentral. Lineage: Eukaryota; Viridiplantae; Streptophyta; Magnoliopsida; Malpighiales; Euphorbiaceae.